AACGCGAAUAACCUUACCUGGGCUAGAAUGCCUCUGACAUCCCCAGAGAUGGGGCUUCUUAGGGAAACCUAAUGCAGAGUGCAAGGUGCUGCAUGGCUGCCGUCAGCUCGUGUCGUGAGAUGUUGGGUUAAGUCCCGCAACGAGCGCAACCCUUAUCAACAGUUGCCAGCGGUUAAAGCCGGGAACUCUGUUGAGACUGCCGUUGACAAAACGGAGGAAGGUGGGGAUGACGUCAAGUCCUCAUGGCCUUUAUGUCCAGGGCUACACACGUGCUACAAUGGCAGGUACAAAGCGCUGCAAACUCGCGAGAGGGAGCCAAUCGCAAAAAGCCUGUCUCAGUUCGGAUUGGAGUCUGCAACUCGACUCCAUGAAGCUGGAAUCGCUAGUAAUCGCAUGUAUCAUGCACGCUGCGGUGAAUACGUUCCCGGGGUCUUGUACACACCG
This 444-nucleotide ribosomal RNA is filed under the name uncultured bacterium. RNAcentral's name for it is "bacterial SSU rRNA". It matches the Rfam family "Bacterial small subunit ribosomal RNA", at positions 958 to 1392 of the family's 1533-position model. The record is from RNAcentral.